CUGAAAGUCAUCUGUUACGACAGAUUUUACGGAGAUCCUGCUAGAAAACUUGAUACUCCUUGAUGGCUGAGAGAAAAUCAGGAAAUUAGUGGGCAGCCAUGUAAAUUAAUUUCUGGUUUUAUGCCUGAACUAAAUGAGGGGAAAAGUUUGAAUUCAAAUCUUUUUAAAAGUUUUAUUCUCUUUCAUUUUAAAGGGAAAAUCUUGUGAUAGAGGAUUCGGUUGUUUUGCUUUGAGAAAGGAUUUGACCUCUUGACCUGACAGAUGUGAAAAACUACUUUGAUUGCUACCUUUUGUUCCCCCUCAAGCAUCCCUUACUCUUACCAAACAGACCUUGAAAGUUAGUCCUUGAAUUUGACCGGUGACAGAGCUAUAGUUGUGCCCUUUUGUAUUUACAGAUACAUCACUGAUUUGGCUGCAGAGCUUCUUUCUGUGUGACUGUGUGUAUUUAUGUGUGUUUGUGUGUGUGUGUGUGUGUGUGUGUGUGUGUGUGUGUGUGUGUGUGUGUGUGUGUGUGUGUGUGUGUGUGUGUGUGUGUGUGUGUGUGUGUUGGCCAUGCAGACACGUGCAGCCCUGGGCGAGGGCGCGGUCAGAGCCGGGCCAGCAGCUCAGUGAGCGUGAAGCCGGCUGUGCAUUUAUGCAACAGACAGGACAGGUGCAUCAUGCCUGCCGGUUCCUCGGGGGAACGGUGAACAUAGUGCAGCUCCUCUCAGGUGUGAGAUUACAGUUUCUCUAUCACGCAGAUCUUUGAAUCUAAUGUGCACAGGCAUGUUCCUCUCGAGCUCUGCGGCGGAUGAUGCUGAUGGGGUCGGAAAUGUCAAUGAGACUUAAUGAUAUUCCUCCGUUUUACCUGAUCGGACUUGUCAUCACUUUUUGUUUCAGCAGGAGAAAAGUCAACAGGUUUUUAACUGUGUGAGGGUAAAAAGAGUGACGGUUGUGAAACAAAGUUUAACUCUGCACGCAUGAAAUAAAUUAGAAUGUUUUUCACCCUGGAAAUCAAAUAUUGAUCACAGAACAGAGUAACUUGGAUUACCUUUUGUUUCAAUCAAUAAAAUAUAGAUGUAUAGUUUUAAAAUGAAGUGGUGACAAAAGUUUCUUGAUCACCUUUUAAAAUUCUUCCAAAACUUGUAUCAUCACUGCCUACUAGAAUUUAACCUUUUACUAAAUUAUGUUUUCUCUUUCAACUAAAGAGGAUUUUUAAAUAUUUGGACCUUGUCACAUAAGUUAGAUCUCAGCUGGAUGUCUUCAUCAGCUGCAGCCCUUCAAAGUGACACAGGAGGAUGAGAAAGGGUCUGUGUGCUAAUAAGUUUAAUCUGCCUGCCUCCCUGCAAUAGAUUCAGCAGUGGCGACAUCAGGUUGCUGUCUUGGUUCCCCGACAACAAAAGAGGAAAGCGUCCGUGAUGUUUAACCAGCUCCGCCAGGGUCAAGAAUGCAGCCCACUGGCGAGGGGACAGAAUUCCUUACAGAAGUGAUCUCUCCUCCCUCCUUUUGAAGUGGGACCCGCCGAGAUCCGUGAGUACGGUGACUCUCUGAAUCACAGGAUCCCGGCUCCGCUUGAAUCCCAGACUGGCCUAACCUGGAGGGUCAGCCUGAGUUUACUUUCUCAGAGAUGCGGGGCCUGCCCAAAGAAACAGAAUCUAUGCAGCUUAAACUGUUGGGUG
Non-coding RNA from Xyrichtys novacula (pearly razorfish), 1658 nucleotides. The record is from the annotation of a GenBank genome assembly. Lineage: Eukaryota; Metazoa; Chordata; Actinopteri; Labriformes; Labridae.